CUGGUGUCAACGGUUUACGGGCGUUUGGCCCGGUUCUGUGACGAAGGGGACGGGGGACCCAUGGGCCCACACCCCGGGAAAAGGGAAAAGGGAAAAAAGGGUAAGGAGAUGGCCCUGAGAGCAAAGAACAGUGGCAACAAUCUGAGGAGAAACAAACUAAUUUACUAAAUAAGAUAUUGGAAUGCAAAACAACACACUAUACUACAAUAUAAUUACAAUUUAAGCUGAUAAAUCCAAUACAGAGAGAGAGAAUGUCCCAAAAUGAAGGUAGGCCUUACUCUACGACCGACGAUAAGACGGCUGGAGAGCGAGGUGCUGCCAAGAUGAGAGACGGGCGGAAAAAGGGACGAGGUCUCGUGAUCUGCAAGCUUUUAUACUGCGAGCUUCUAUCUUUUCCCUCCGGCCAGAAAAUGGUAACAGAGGAGCAAAGUACCGUGGGGACUGUAGUAGUCCUUCUCUUCUGAGAACCAGGUACAUCCACUACAUGAUGUUAUGAUGUGGAAUACCAAUAACCGAAAAUCACAAAACCAUGACAUCAGGAUAAUUAUACGCUACAGUGUCUCAGUCCUCCUGCAGAAAAUUUCAGUCAAGCUUUCCAAAGCUGGCAGUGCUGGGGUUAAGGCUGCCUGUAUGUUCAUGCUAAAAAUCCACUGUUAAUUUGAUGAUCAGACACCGCUCCUUGGGACCUUGCCUCACCCAGGGCACUGGAUGGAUCGUGUGCACUUAAUGAGCAGCUACUUGGUAUUUUUCGCUCCGUUGUUCAGAGUGUGUCUCCGUGCUUUAUUGACUGCAUACUAUCCGCAUUGAAGGCAAUUACUUUCCUCAUGAGUUUUUCUGUGCUGCUUAUCACUAUAGUAACUGCCUGCUUCACAAAUACUAACUAAUCUGUUCUCUCACUUCCCUUCUGAGAGAGCAGGCCCCUACCUGUGUUCAUGACUGAGGAGCUGAGGAACGAAGAGCAGGAGCUGACGAGAAGUCACUGAGUUCAAGUGUCCAAAUGCAGCAGGACUUCCCAUCUCACAGCACCUGGGGAUGUGCAACACCAGGCAAGCCCCAGCUCCAGCUCAUCCUGCCCUUACUUCUGCACCGCCUCUUCCUGACAUGCACCUGCCCUCAGCCACGCUGCCAGCUGGUCCCGUGCCUCAUGCACUGUGUAGCACACUUUCCGUGCGCUGCCAUGUACUGCAGGGACAAGGAGAUGGCAGCAGAUAAAGUGGUACAGUGAACUUAAAAGACUGCCAAAUAAAUGUCACAAGCCACAAAACA
RNAcentral lists this long non-coding RNA (1266 nucleotides) under Numida meleagris (helmeted guineafowl). RNAcentral describes it as "lncRNA (ENSNMEG00000020096.1)". Lineage: Eukaryota; Metazoa; Chordata; Aves; Galliformes; Numididae. The record is from RNAcentral.